CACAGGUGAGUUUGGUGGAAUAUGGGCUUUGGGGGCUUGAGGGGAAAUUGUGA
Molecule: transfer RNA, 53 nt
Filed under: Centrorhynchus milvus
Lineage: Eukaryota; Metazoa; Acanthocephala; Palaeacanthocephala; Polymorphida; Centrorhynchidae
Description: tRNA-Pro
Source: RNAcentral